Molecule: ribosomal RNA, 253 nt
Filed under: uncultured bacterium
Lineage: Bacteria
Description: partial 16S ribosomal RNA
Rfam family: Bacterial small subunit ribosomal RNA
Source: RNAcentral
UACAGAGGGUGCGAGCGUUGUUCGGAAUCAUUGGGCGUAAAGCGGGCGUAGGUGGUCUUGCAAGUCAGGAGUGAAAGCCCUGGGCUCAACCCAGGAAGUGCUUUUGAAACUGCAAGACUUGAAUGUGGGAGAGGGUAGUAGAAUUCCUGGUGUAGUGGUGAAAUACGUAGAUAUCAGGAGGAAUACCGGUGGCGAAGGCGGCUACCUGGCCCAACAUUGACACUGAGGCCCAAAAGCGUGGGGAGCAAACAGG